AAUAAACACAAGUAAAAUUUAUUAUUUAAAGUUAAAAUUUGAUAAAGUAAUAUAUAAAUAAAUUUUUUAGGUUAAAUUUUAAAUUUAAAAAAUUAUUACAAGUAUUAAUUUUAAGCUUAAAAAUUUUAUAAAUAAACUAGGAUUAGAUACCCUAUUAUAAAAAAUGUAAUUUUAAAAAAAUAGAGUAGUAAUAGUUAUGUUCUUAAAACUUAAUAAAUUUGGCGGUAUUUUAAUCUAAUCAGAGGAACUUGUUUUAUAAUUGAUAAUCCUCACUAUAUCUUACUUAAUUUAUUAGUUUGUAUACCAUCGUCAUAAGAAUCUCUUUAAAAAGAAAAAAUUUUCUAAAAAAUUUAUUAAUUAAAAUGUCAGAUCAAGGUGCAGCUUAUAAUUAAGAAAAAAUGAGUUACAAUAAAAUUAUUUAUAUGAAUUUAAAAAUGAAAUAUUUUUAAUGAAAUUGGAUUUGAUAGUAAAAUAAAUUAGAGAGUUUAUUUGAUUUUAGUUCUAAAAUAUGCACAUAUCGCCCGUCGCUCUCGUUAUUUAAAAUGAG
RNAcentral lists this ribosomal RNA (547 nucleotides) under Allodia grata. RNAcentral's name for it is "partial 12S ribosomal RNA". The record is from RNAcentral. Lineage: Eukaryota; Metazoa; Arthropoda; Insecta; Diptera; Mycetophilidae.